UUAAUGUACGUCGUAGAUGUGUGGUUUUCUACAAUGGCUCCAUCGCUAUUUGCUUGAACAUUUCACUGUCUUUGCCAUAUUUAAUCACUUAAGCCUCGUCUGACUUAGUCUCCGCUUCCUUCUUUACUGCUCAUCCUUAACCUACUUCACUUCAGAGCUAUUCUGCACCGAGGUUUACACCCUCGAUGCCACAACAGGACCGCAAGACAAGUACAAGCAACCCUUAGUUUUUCCAUUUACUCUGUUUUCAGUUCUCGUCCGUCAGUCCCGCAUUGUGAAGCUGAAUCAAUACGAAAAGCCGCCAAAGAGGCUAAAUCCGUCUGUUCUGCAAGUUCUCUAGGGGUGCAGAAAAACAUGGUUUAAUGGAGAAUUAACAGUGGGAAAGCCUGGUCUGGGUUUGGAGGAUUAUUCAACCAGAUUACAAUAAGAUUCUUAAAAGGGGAUUUAGGCUUGAAAAAGUGGGACACUGAGCCCGUCAAGCACUUGCUUUCAGGGGGAGGUUGAGACAAGCUGGGGAGUUAGGGGAGGGGGGCUUUGUGCAAAUGCACAGUGUGUGUUUUCGGGGGCGUAAAACCGCAGCUCAUCUCAAUGUGUCAAAUUUGUAUAUCCCACACAAAUUCUUGAGCCAGAACUGGGGCUACCUUCUUGCAGGGUUGUAAAUUUUUUGAGGGCACAUGCAGCUAUUGGGAUGGCGCCAACCAAGCUGUGCUCAGAGUAGACGCCCUGAAAUUAAUGGAACUUAGUCUGAUUUUACACUCUUGAGUGUGAAUAACAGCAGAUGCAGUCCUUUGGACUCCUCUAUGCUGCGUUUUUGUUUUUGUUUUAAUUAUGGUGCUGAAGGAGAUUCUUGAGAGUCCCAUGGACUGCAAGAAGAUCAAACCUCUCCAUUCUUAAGGAAAUCAGCCCUGAGUGCUCAGUGGAAGGACAGAUCCUGAAGCUGAGGCUCCAAUACUUUGGCCACCUCAUGAGAAGAGAAGAGUCCCUGGAAAAGACCCUGAUGUUGGGAAAGAUUGAGGGCACAAGGAGAAGGGGACGGCAGAGGACGAGAUGGUUGGACAGUGUUCUCGAAGCUACCAGCAUGAGUUUGACCAAACUGCGAGAGGCAGUGGAAGACAGGAGUGCCUGGCGUGCUCUGGUCCAUGGGGUCACGAAGAGUCGGACACGACUAAACGACUAAACAACAACAAUGCUGCGUUUGCGAUGAAGCAUAUCUCUCCUACCUGACAGACGCUCGCGCUACGUGAUGACACUUGUUAGCCUGUGAAAAUGGCACAGGGUUUUGGGAGGAUGGAAAUGAUUCACUGGUAUGACUGUUGCCAGGAUGUCAGAAGGCAGCACAUGUGAGUGAGGGCCGGUGUGCCUUCAAGUGCAAUGCUUUGCCCCAUGCUUCAAGAAGCAGGAACAUAAGUCUCUUCCCAGAAUGGUCAGCUCUGGCUCUUGUUGAAGCUUGUAUUUCUGAGUCAGGGUCUCCAGGCAGCUGCCUGCUUCCAGAUCUUCUGUCGCCAAGGUGGAACCACGGGGGUGGCACAGUAACCAGCCAGCCAGCCGCACAUGCUCUAUCUUCAGGCUUAAUUAAACAGCACCACAUCCUCACAGAGAGGCCUGUUUGCUGAGCACGCUGAAGGAGAGGGGAAGGGGGCAGCUGCAAGGGAAAACAAACAAAGACUCUAGCAGAUCAACAUGCCAUUAUGCAGCCAGCUAGAGAUUGCACAAUAAGGACACGGAUGGAAAAGUAGGAGAGGGUAGCACAGCCACGAAAUGGGCAAUAGGUUCCAAUAACAAGCAGCAUUGAUGUUGCUACAAAACAGUCCCCGUUU
Non-coding RNA from Podarcis lilfordi (Lilford's wall lizard), 1817 nucleotides. Lineage: Eukaryota; Metazoa; Chordata; Lepidosauria; Squamata; Lacertidae. The record is from the annotation of a GenBank genome assembly.